CUCUGAGUAGGUCAGGGACCCAGGAGGGCAAUGAUUUUUUAAUUUACUUAUGAAACUUCCAUAACAGCACAUGGCCUGGCACAGAAUUGUACUCAAAAAUUGUUUGUCAGAUAUAAUUACACUUUGAAAAACUCUUUCCAUCUAGCUAACACACUGAAUUUUAAAUUCAAACUAGUCGGACUCUUGCCAUGGAAUAGAGCAGGAGUUGGCGAACUUUUUCUGUAAAGGGCCAGACAGUAAAUAUUUUUAGCUUUGUGGGUUGUAUGGUCUCAGUUGCAACUACCCAACUCUGCUGUUAUACCACAGAAGUAGCUAUAAACUGUACGUAAACAAAUGGGCACAGCUGUGUUCUAGUACAACUUAUCUAAACAGGCAAUGGAGGGCUGAAUUGGGCUGUAGUUCGCCGAUCUCCAGAAUAGAGGAAAGGAUUGGAGAGAGCUGUGUUCCAGCCCAUGGGGGAGACACAGCGUUGAAGAGGAAAGAGUAUUGCAUUAGGACUUAGGGCACUUACGUCUACUUCUAGCUAGAAUUUUGACCUUUAUGGGCCUCUGUUUUUAUGUAUAAAAUGUGUAAGGACAAAUUGAUGAAUUUUCCAGGUGCAAGCCAGUCUGAGAGGCUAUGUUCCUUAUAAAUGGUUAACUUAAGGAGGUACCAGUGAGGCCAGCAUUUGAGAACCACAAUCCUUUGGCCCGGUAUGGUGGCUCAUGCCUGUAAUCCCAGCACUGUGGGAGGCCAAGGCGGGUGGAUCACUUGAGCCCAGGAGUUUGAGACCAGCCCGGCCAACAUGGUGAAACCCUGUCUCUACUAAAAAUACAAAAAUUAUCCAGGUGUAUGGUGCACACCUGUAGUCCCGGCUACUAAGAAGGCCGAGGCAGGAGAAUCGCUUGAACCCGGGAGGUGGAGGUUGCAGUGAGCCCAGAUUGAACCAGUGUACUCCAGCCUGGGCAACAGAGUGAGACUCCAUCUCAAAAAAAAAAAAAAAAAAAGAAUUGACCUAGGGCUUCAGGUGUUACAAUGAGAUCACAUGCGAUAAAGACUAAGAAAGCAUCCGGGUGUGGUGGCUCGCACCUGGAAUCCCAGCACUUUGGGAGGCCGAAACGGGCAGAUUGCUUGAGCCCAGGAGUUCAAGACCAACCUGGGCGCAAUAUGGCAGUACCUAAACUCUGCUAAAAAUACAAAAACUUAGCCGGGUAUAGUGGCAUGCACCUGUAGUCCCAGCUACUCGGGAGGCUGAGGUGGGAGGAUCAACUGAACCCUGGAAGUAGAGGCUGCAGUGACCCGUGAUCACACCACUGCACUCCAGCCUGGGUGACAGGAGCGAGACCGAGUCUCAAAAAAAAAAAAGACAGAAAGGGCCAGGUGUGGUGGCUCACGCCUGUAAUCCCAGCACUUUGGGAGGCUGAAGUGGGAGGAUUGCUUGAGUCCAAGAGUUUGAGACCAGUCUGGGCAACAUAAUGAGACCCCAUCUCUACAAAAAAUAAAAAUAUUAGCUGGGUGUUGUGGCACCAGCUUGUAGUCCCAGCUACUCUGGAGGCUGAGGUGGGAGGAUCUCUUGAGUCUGGGAGGUCAAGACUGCAGUGAGCCAUGAUCACACCACUGCACUUUAGGCUAAGCAACAGAACAAGACUCUGUCUCAGAAGUAGGGGCUGAGAAAUAACCACUAUUUGGAUUUAGAAAUUGAGUUCUUUGGGCCAUGCGCGGUGGCUCACACCUGUAAUCUCUUUGGGAGACUGAGG
This 1736-nucleotide long non-coding RNA is filed under the name Homo sapiens (human). Its description in RNAcentral is "HSALNT0236812". The record is from RNAcentral. Lineage: Eukaryota; Metazoa; Chordata; Mammalia; Primates; Hominidae.